RNAcentral lists this ribosomal RNA (497 nucleotides) under uncultured bacterium. Its description in RNAcentral is "bacterial SSU rRNA". It matches the Rfam family "Bacterial small subunit ribosomal RNA", at positions 28 to 507 of the family's 1533-position model. The record is from RNAcentral.
GAUGAACGCUGGCGGCGUGCCUCCCUUUGCAAGUCGAACGCGCAGCGAAAGGUGCUUGCACCUUUCAAGCGAGUGGCGAACGGGUGAGUAACACGUGGAUAACCUGCCUCAAGGCUGGGGAUAACAUUUGGAAACAGAUGCUAAUACCGAAUAAAACUUAGUAUCGCAUGAUACAAAGUUAAAAGGCGCUACGGCGUCCCCUAAAGAUGGAUCCGCGGUGCAUUAGUUAGUUGGGGGGGUAAAGGCUCACCAAGGCAAUGAUACAUAGCCAACCUGAGAGGGUGAUCGGCCACAUUGGGACUGAAACACGGCCCAAACUCCUACGGGAGGCAGCAGUAGGGAAUCUUCGGCAAUGGACAAAAGUCUGACCGACCAACGCCGCGUGAGUGAAGAAGGUUUUCGGAUCGUAAAACUCUGUUGGUAGAAAAAAACGUUGGUGAGAGUGGAAAGCUCAUCAAGUGACGGUAACUACCCAAAAAGGGACGGCUAACUACGUG